AAGAUGCUAGAGGGAUAAAGAUUAAGAAAAAACUCUAAAAUAUAACGAUUGGGAAUCUAAUUGAAAUACGGUGUUGAAAACUUGCCCUUGUGAGCAAGGAUCCUAAUGUGUUUCAUGUGAUGCCCACCUGGGAGACUGGGUUUUAUCGUUAACUGUCCUUCUAGCAUUUAU
This 171-nucleotide non-coding RNA is filed under the name Candidatus Fimihabitans intestinipullorum. RNAcentral's name for it is "6S RNA". It matches the Rfam family "6S / SsrS RNA". From Rfam's summary of the family: E. coli 6S RNA was the first non coding RNA to be sequenced, but its function was unknown until recently. It consists of 184 nucleotides that fold into an extended hairpin structure with a large single-stranded internal bulge. Lineage: Bacteria; Bacillati; Mycoplasmatota. The record is from RNAcentral.